Long non-coding RNA from Magnolia sinica, 323 nucleotides. RefSeq lists it as uncharacterized. The transcript has 3 exons. NCBI's taxonomy places the organism in Eukaryota, Viridiplantae, Streptophyta, Magnoliopsida, Magnoliales, Magnoliaceae. The record is from RefSeq and is a predicted model, not a curated record.
UUACACUAGCGGUACAAGUGGUGCAAGACCCAUGAUGAGGCCGUACUGUCCGCACCACCACACGUGACUAUAGACGACUGGCGGAUACUCUGCGAGAGAUUUUCGUUUGAGACUUUUCAGAAGAUGAGCAGAAUAAAUUCUACAAGUAGGAAAAAGUUACAAGUGAACCACGUAGCUGGUUCAAAGUCAUUUGUAUGACAUCGUUACGACAUGUGAGAUUCCUUCACCGACCAGGAGCCUGGACCAAUAGACCUCUACAAAGGGACUCACUGUCGGUAGGCGAGGGGAUCUUGGGUUCAUCCUAGAGCCAGCGAGAAUUAGGU